GAUGAAGAACGUAGCGAAAUGCGAUAAGUAAUGUGAAUUGCAGAAUUCAGUGAAUCAUCGAAUCUUUGAACGCACAUUGCGCCCGCCAGUAUUCUGGCGGGCAUGCCUGUUCGAGCGUCAUUUCAACCAUCAAGCCCCCGGGCUUGUGUUGGGGACCUGCGGCUGCCGCAGGCCCUGAAAAGCAGUGGCGGGCUCGCUGUCACACCGAGCGUAGUAGAUUUUAUCUCGCUCUGGGCGUGCUGCGGGUUCCGGCCGUUAAACCACCCUUUUAACCCAGGGUUGACCUCGGAUCAGGUAGGAAGACCCGCUGAACUUAAGCAUAUCAAUAAGCGGAGGA
RNAcentral lists this unclassified non-coding RNA (337 nucleotides) under soil metagenome. RNAcentral's name for it is "partial contains 5.8S ribosomal RNA, internal transcribed spacer 2, and large subunit ribosomal RNA". The stretch from base 1 to 120 matches the Rfam family "5.8S ribosomal RNA", at positions 35 to 154 of the family's 154-position model. The record is from RNAcentral.